RNAcentral lists this ribosomal RNA (186 nucleotides) under uncultured rumen bacterium. RNAcentral describes it as "partial 16S ribosomal RNA". It matches the Rfam family "Bacterial small subunit ribosomal RNA", at positions 340 to 524 of the family's 1533-position model. The record is from RNAcentral.
UACGGAGGCAGCAGUGAGGAAUAUUGGUCAAUGGACGAGAGUCUGAACCAGCCAAGUAGCGUGCAGGAUGACGGCCCUAUGGGUUGUAAACUGCUUUUAUACGGGGAUAAAGUGACCCACGUGUGGGUUUUUGUAGGUACCGUAUGAAUAAGGACCGGCUAACUCCGUGCCAGCAGCCGCGGUAAU